This 182-nucleotide ribosomal RNA is filed under the name uncultured bacterium. Its description in RNAcentral is "partial 16S ribosomal RNA". It matches the Rfam family "Bacterial small subunit ribosomal RNA", at positions 1319 to 1500 of the family's 1533-position model. The record is from RNAcentral.
CAUGAAGCUGGAAUCGCUAGUAAUCGCAGAUCAGAAUGCUGCGGUGAAUACGUUCCCGGGUCUUGUACACACCGCCCGUCACACCAUGGGAGUCGGAAAUGCCCGAAGCCAGUGACCCAACCUUAAGGAGGGAGCUGUCGAAGGUGGAGCCGAUAACUGGGGUGAAGUCGUAACAAGGUACC